AUCAGAUGUUGGGACCCUUAAGUGUUCUGCACCUGGGGAGAGUUAGGAACCACUUAAGGAGUGUCUGUUGCUUGCCAAUCUUAAAAUUUUUAGUUUGCACCUGAAUCAGGGGCUGUCAGAGUCCAGACUGCUCUUGAAAUAGAAAAGACUGGUCGUUAAAGGCUGGUUCGUUGAGUCUUUCAUCGUUGAGUGAUACCACCUCUGCAGAUGGCUCAGUGGGGCAGCCCCGUACCACAGCCUGCCCUUGAGGUUGUGUAGUUUAGAUAGGUCACAGAGUUGCUGGGCCUACCGCAGGUCUCCUGACCCUGGUGCAGUUUUACUUCAAUUACAACCACCAAAAUAGCUACAGUCAAAAAUUCCAAAGUUCCUACACCAUCAACCUCCACCCCACUUCCGUCCAAAGUCCACUUAGAGGCUCUCAGUUUUGGACCUUAGAAACACUUAGGGAGCUUUUUAAAAAGAUCGAUUCUGUAUUUUUAGUAGAGAUGGGGUUUCACCCAGCUACUCAGGAGGCUGAGGCAGGAGAAUCACUUGAACCGGGGAGUUGGAGGUUGCAGUGAGCCGAGAUUAUGUCACUCCAGCCUGGGCAACAGAGUGAGACUCCGUCUUAGGAAAAAAAAAAAGAUUGAUUCUGGCCGGGCACAGUGGCUCACGCUUACAGUCCCAGCACUUUAAGAGACUCAGGCAGGAGGAUCACUUGAGCUUAGGAGUUUGAGACUAGCCUGGGCAACCCAGUGAGACCCCGUAUCUACAAAAAUUAGCCAGGUGUUGUGACAUGUGCCUGUGGUCCCAGCUACUCAAGAGGCUGAGGUGAGAGGAGCAAGUGAGCCCAGGAGUUCAAGGCUGCAAUGAGCUGUGAUCGCACCACUGCACUCCAGCUCGGGUGACAAGAGUGAGACCCCGUCUGAAAAAAAGAUUGAUCCCAAGGCCUUGCCCAGAUUCUGAUUUUAUUGGCCUGGAGUGUGGCCUAGGCAUUAGAAAAUCUUCAAGAGAGUCUAAGGUGCAGCGGAAUUGAGAGCCACGGACAGAAAAAGCCCUAAAUUGUGGAAAUGCACAGCCACCGUCACCACCUAUCGGUACGAUGACAUCUCAAGGAGUCACUGGCCCUAGGUUUCUGCAGUAGGAUCUUAAGAUCUGAUCUCUGCCCUCAAGUGAGUGCACGUGCAGUAAAGCUGUCAUCGUGCCAUGACAGAUGUCUGCAAGGACUUUACAGUGGGGUCCAAAGGAUGCCACCAUCAGCUCCACCUGGGGCUCAACAAAGCCUGAAAGAAGAAAGGGAUGAUGCUUCCAGCAGAAACCUGGAGGCCUGCAGCUCUGCCAGCCCAGCACAGCAAGCGAGGCCAUUUGUCCAGCAGGGGCAGAAGGAGGGAACUCAGCCAGCCAGCGUUUCCUACAAGCAGCUCCAUGAGAGGUUUCCACUUAAAAUGCUAAAUCAUAAUUAUUUAAUCAGAUUCGUUCCUUAAGUUCUUUAAGCAGCAUCGCUGUCCUACCACGAGUGGUCAUCAAGGAGCAGGGUUUAACUCAACUCUGAGUUACCCGGCAGGGUACCUGGGUAACUGCCUGGGUUGAGGUACCCAGCAGGCUUCAUGUGCAUGUGCACACUGCCCCCUGAUAGGACCUGGUUUAUUCACAGGCUCAGGUGUCACUGCAGCUCCCCAGUGACUAUCUUCGCGCAAGUUGGACUCAAUGGCCUGGGAGGUUUGUCCCAGCCGACAGAUACCUGACCAUGCCCAUCCUCACCAUUCCCUCCCCCAUGCUGCAUCCAUCCAACCUUGAUCUCCACUGUGUCCCAGGCACCCUAAGAUGCACAAGCUAUGUGGGCCCUGCCCUCACAGAACUUGUAGUCUUCUGCCCCAAACAAGCCAGUUCACCGUCUUCAUGAUCAGGCCAAAGGUUGAGGUACCCAGCAGGCUUCAUAUGCACAUGCACACUGUCCCCUAUAGGACCAUGCCUUGCCCAGCUGGCUGCACUCUAGAGGGUGCUUUGUAGGAAGGACAGAGUGGAGAGGACAGUGGGGAGGUACUUGGGUGUUCAACAGCCAGAAGGGAGGGAAACUGAAAAAGAAUCAGGAGUCCAGCCAUCCCCUCCCCACCUCCUGCCCCCACUUCCACCCUGGCUGCUGGCCCUUUGCCCUUGAAUAUGGGUGAUAUAGGUGUGGCUAUUCAGUUCCAGUCACAGUGCUGCCUCUAUGUCUUUUGCAAGCUGGGGUCUUCCUUACUCAGAAGGCCUGGAGGCCCUGCCAGAUGCUGCCUUCCGGACUGGCUGCCCGCUGCAGUGUUUUCACGGGAGCCAAGCCAGCCCCGGGCCUGUAGCCUCCCAUGUGACAAAGUUUCAGACACCACAGUCCUCAGCUGGACCACAGUAAACACUUGCCUUCCCCAACCCAUGAUUCUUGCUUGGAAACAUGAACCUGAUGUUCCACGUGCGUUCAGCCAAUCAAACCUCAAGAAUGUGAUUGAGCAGUGAGGCUGCGUUUUGGGCAAGACACUGAGCUCUGAAAUAAGACUUUUCUUGGAAUCUCAAGCCCUCAACUUACAGUGGGACCCUAAGAAAUGCACUUCAGUUUCCUUUUAUGUAAAAUGGUGGUAAAAUUAAUUGUGUUCAUUAAAUUGCACACAACUAU
This 2623-nucleotide long non-coding RNA is filed under the name Homo sapiens (human). RNAcentral describes it as "non-protein coding lnc-POLR1A-3:2". Lineage: Eukaryota; Metazoa; Chordata; Mammalia; Primates; Hominidae. The record is from RNAcentral.